This 240-nucleotide unclassified non-coding RNA is filed under the name soil metagenome. RNAcentral describes it as "partial contains 5.8S ribosomal RNA, internal transcribed spacer 2, and large subunit ribosomal RNA". The record is from RNAcentral.
AACAUCGCGCACCUGCGGGAACCUGCGGAGGGAUCAUUACAGAGUUGCAAAACUCCCUAAACCAUUGUGAACGUUACCUAAACCGUUGCUUCGGCGGGCGGCCCGGGUCCUUCCCGGCGCCCAUCGGCCCUCGCGGGCGCCCGCCGGAGGUAAACCAAACUAUUGCAUUGUAUGGCCUCUCUGAGUCUUCUGUACUGAAUAAGUCAAAACUUUCAACAACGGAUCUCAGAUCGGAAGAGA